GGCACUGUGUAUUCAUAACGUUCUAGUGUUCAAAUAUGCAUCGUAGUUACUUUCCGCCUUAUUUUUUAAUAUGCGUGAUUGUUAACGUCGAUCUGAGGCUUUGUCAAUAAACCACGAGUGAGCAAUUUGUGUUAAAUAUUCGCAAUGUAUGUACUCAUAUUAUUUGCUGACGGUAUAUAUUACGUGUGUCAAAGAAAAAAUAUAGUGAAAUCCAGGAAUAAAUAUAUCGCAAAAUAUUAAUAUGAUAAAAGAUAUACUUGUCGUAUCUUAGCACAUCAUGGAAUAUAUCAAAAAUUGUGUUGCAACGUACAUUGACAUUAGUACCUCGGAAUGUAUCUAAAGCCCAGAAUACGAGAAACGAUGUGAUAAAGGAAGCAGAAGAUACUAUCAUUCUUGAUGUUACUGAUAAAAAUGGUGGUAACGAACCCACAACAUGAUGAACGAUAAGAAUAACCAUACUGAAACAUGUGAAUUAGAUACAGGGAUUUGUGAACAAUUGGAGAGUGUCAUAUAUACAGAAAUAUAUAGACAAAUGUAAAGUGAUAGAGAAAAAUCAAAUGAAGAAAAUGAUGUGAUAAAGGCAACAGAAGAUAUCAUUCUUGAUGUUACCGAUAAAAAUGAUAAAAACGAACCCACUAACAUGAUGAAAGAUAAAAGUAACCAUACUGAGACGUGUGAAUUAGAUACAGAGAUUUGUGAACAAUUAGAGAGUGAAAUAUAUACAAAAAUAUGUAGACAAAUGGAAAGUGAUAGAGCAAAAUCAAAUGAAAGUUUUACAAA
Harpegnathos saltator (Jerdon's jumping ant) is the source of this 780-nucleotide long non-coding RNA. RefSeq lists it as uncharacterized. The record is from RefSeq and is a predicted model, not a curated record. NCBI's taxonomy places the organism in Eukaryota, Metazoa, Arthropoda, Insecta, Hymenoptera, Formicidae. The transcript has 4 exons.